AUCGAAGCGGCAGUUGAACGCGGGAACGAAACUUCUUUUUUCAGUUUAACCAACAUCAGCCAGCCCCAUCAUGGACCUGACGAACUUGCGGUGUCAAGUGUAUGGAAUAGUCUUCAGCAUUGCCAUUUUCUUGAUCGUGUUACUUUUAUGUGAGCGCUUGAUUGUGCGCUACAUCCCAAAGGCAAUUGUUAAAAUCUUGGGACGCGAAGAGUUCGAAAAAGGCCGAACUUCUAAAAAAACUGUGACUUAGGCGGAGUAAUUUUUUAGAAUAGAACAAAGGCAGAGGUGAGAAUCAUCCCGAGCACGUUUGAAUUCGUAGCUGCGCUGAGAACAAUAAUUUUGUUGAUCUGAGUUUUUUGUUGGUCAAACUACUGGUCUCACAGGGAAUGUCAGAAUUUUUUGGUUCUCCACUGUCUCUGCGCACUCGGCAAUGUGAAAUCGGAUGAAAAAACAUUUUUUGUUAAUUGCACCAAUGAUGCUUACAAAUUAAAAGUUCACAUUCUUUUUUUCAUGAAAAUAAUAUUGUUUUUUUCUCAAACUACUAAAAAUAUUAUUAAAAUUACGGGUUAGCAACUACCGCUUUGAGUUUCCAAAUGUAUUGUGUACACAUUUGAAAAAAUCUCUGAAAAUGAAAUUUCGAGUAACUGUUCGUGGACGAGACUGCAUAUAAAUUGAAAUUGAAUGAAAAUUUUGAUUUUUGAUUAAUUCGAAUGAAAAUAGAAUAUUAAUUUUGACAAAAAUUUAUUAAAUUUGAUUCAGUACGAUUGAAAAUUUCCAAAAUAAUUUUCAACUCGCCGAGACCAUCUUGGGCUGUUUGAAAAUUUGACAGGCUCCCACUACAUUUGAGUUGUCAUUAGGAAACGUCAGGGUCAAAAAAUCUUUCAACACUUUUCUGAGUCAUCCGAUCAAGCUCGUGUGAGUUUUAGUUUUUGAAACUUCGAGAUUCGUUUUCCGAGUUACGAUUUUCGACGGAAUCAGCAAAAAUUUUUCGUUUUGUCGUCACAUGUUUUCAAGGCAGCUAAUUAGCGAUUCGAGGUCAGGUUCCGGCGGAUUUUUCUUGGAAUUGACGUAUCUCCUCUUAGAAUUAUAAUUCAGUGAAAAAAUAAAACGAAAAAAAUCGAAUAGGAGGAACAUUCGAGGAGAAGGAAAGUUCCAGGGGACUGUUGAAAAUUUCAGGCUCUGAGAAACUUGUAAACAGUGUUAUUUGAAGCUUCUCUGAAACGUCCCUUCAUUUCCACCGCUGUAUAGUCGACGAAAGCCUGUUGAAGUCGUGCAGACAGCCAAGAUGAUGGAGCGAAUUACAGGAGUGCGCAUGCCAAAUUAUUCAGGAAAUCGAAUUAAUACAAUGAGGACGCAGGAGGAAACAAGUUCAAUACCGAAUAUGGAUUUGAAACUAUUUUAUGGAAGCACCGUCAUUGUCUUGCUAUUGCUAAUAAUCCUCGUCUUCUCCAUGCGACCAAAAUUUUUUGGUUUCUCCUCGCACGAAGAGAAAUUUUCAUCGCUAUUCUUAUAUGACACUGACUCUCCGUCCUGUAAAGCCACCACUAUCGUAAUAACUAAAAAUGAUGACGAAUUUUUCGACAAUUACUACAAUAAAUACUGUCACCCGUGGCUAUAACGUAAAUUAUUUAAUAUAGACAAGAAAAAAUAGUACAUUACAAUACGUGUGACUUAGAGUAUGGAUCAGUCGACUAACCUCACUUGGAAUUUUCGAAAUCGAAAUUCUUUGACACAGUUUGACUGAUUAAAAAAAAGGCUCUGUCAGCUUACGCAGAACGAUGGCAAAAAUCGACUGACAGAGCCUUUUUUUAAUCGGUCAAACUGUGCCAAAGAAUUUCGAUUUCGAAAUUUGCAGCUAUCUCUCUCGCACUCACGGUGGCGAGAUAGCGACUGCUCCAUCACCUUAAUUUAAGAGUAUCGUAUACUAUUUUAUAGCCCGUAUGACAUAAGACGCAAAAGCGUAACUAAAAUACGGGUUUAGGUCAUGCGGCGUUAUAAAAACAAUUUUUAAUUAUUGUAAUAAAAUUCAUUAAAAAGUAUACUGCAAAUCCUUCGAGGCUGAAAUAAAAUGACCUCUUCGAAUCCAAAAA
Long non-coding RNA from Venturia canescens, 2090 nucleotides. RefSeq lists it as uncharacterized. The transcript has 4 exons. NCBI's taxonomy places the organism in Eukaryota, Metazoa, Arthropoda, Insecta, Hymenoptera, Ichneumonidae. The record is from RefSeq and is a predicted model, not a curated record.